RNA transcript from Capsicum annuum, 707 nucleotides. RefSeq lists it as uncharacterized. The transcript has 4 exons. Lineage: Eukaryota; Viridiplantae; Streptophyta; Magnoliopsida; Solanales; Solanaceae. The record is from RefSeq and is a predicted model, not a curated record.
AACCAUUCUUUAGAUUAGGAAAGUUGGAAAGUUGUUGAAGCUUCCAGAAUACUAAUCAACCAACAAUGCUGCUACUUCUAUAGGAAAGGCGUCGACUUGUUCUCCUUGGCAUCACAAUCUUCUUCAAUGACCAACGAUCAACGAAGGUGCUGCUGUGAUGGUGUUAGUGUCGCCUUACCAAUACAAAUCGACCAUUCUCAUUUGACCAACGAUGUUGAUGCUGAUAUGGUGUCGCCUUGUGAACCUCUUGUUGCCUUUUCAUCUUUAUCUCCGCAGCUCCUCUGUCCACCACUGCUGAGAUUCACCAAUCACGAUUAUCUUCUUCUCAGCCACCUAAGGACCUAUUUUGGAUCUGAUUUAGCUGUUGUUUGAGUAUUUAGCAAAGGAAAUCACUUCCAACAACAAGUAUCAUCAUCUCCUUAAAACAUCCCCAAAUCAAUUAUUCCCAACCAAUUUGCACUUUAUUGGUCGAGAUAGCUGCUUAUCGUGGGCCAACUCUUUGAUUUCUUGUAUUGGACUGUUAUCUCUUCUAUCAGAUUUGUCAUGGUGGGUAGCUGGCACCAUAUUUUUAUUCUCCUGGCAGUGGAAUAACUUAUAAACCCAUUCAUUAUUAGAUAUCUCCCCUUCCCCCUUCCUUGAUUCUUUAAAAAUCUGAGAAGAAUAUGAUGUACUAAUAUAAUUAAAGAAUUGAUUUCUUUCAUCCUUCA